RNAcentral lists this ribosomal RNA (510 nucleotides) under uncultured bacterium. RNAcentral's name for it is "partial 16S ribosomal RNA". It matches the Rfam family "Bacterial small subunit ribosomal RNA", at positions 28 to 507 of the family's 1533-position model. The record is from RNAcentral.
GACGAACGCUGGCGGCGUGCUUAACACAUGCAAGUCGAACGAAGAACGACGGAAGCUUGCUUCUAUCAAUCUUAGUGGCGAACGGGUGAGUAACGCGUAAUCAACCUGCCCUUCAGAGGGGGACAACAGUUGGAAACGACUGCUAAUACCGCAUACGAUCUAAUCUCGGCAUCGAGGAUGGAUGAAAGGUGGCCUCUACAUGUAAGCUAUCACUGAAGGAGGGGAUUGCGUCUGAUUAGCUAGUUGGAGGGGUAACGGCCCACCAAGGCGAUGAUCAGUAGCCGGUCUGAGAGGAUGAACGGCCACAUUGGGACUGAGACACGGCCCAGACUCCUACGGGAGGCAGCAGUGGGGAAUCUUCCGCAAUGGACGAAAGUCUGACGGAGCAACGCCGCGUGAGUGAUGACGGCCUUCGGGUUGUAAAGCUCUGUUAAUCGGGACGAAAGGCCUUCUUGCGAAUAGUGAGGAGGAUUGACGGUACCGGAAUAGAAAGCCACGGCUAACUACGUG